This 1401-nucleotide ribosomal RNA is filed under the name Psychrobacter sp. KOPRI 25501. RNAcentral's name for it is "16S ribosomal RNA". It matches the Rfam family "Bacterial small subunit ribosomal RNA". The record is from RNAcentral. Lineage: Bacteria; Pseudomonadati; Pseudomonadota; Gammaproteobacteria; Moraxellales; Moraxellaceae.
UUAACACAUGCAAGUCGAGCGGAAACGAUGAUAGCUUGCUAUCAGGCGUCGAGCGGCGGACGGGUGAGUAAUACUUAGGAAUCUACCUAGUAGUGGGGGAUAGCACGGGGAAACUCGUAUUAAUACCGCAUACGACCUACGGGAGAAAGGGGGCAGUUUACUGCUCUCGCUAUUAGAUGAGCCUAAGUCGGAUUAGCUAGAUGGUGGGGUAAAGGCCUACCAUGGCGACGAUCUGUAGCUGGUCUGAGAGGAUGAUCAGCCACACCGGGACUGAGACACGGCCCGGACUCCUACGGGAGGCAGCAGUGGGGAAUAUUGGACAAUGGGGGAAACCCUGAUCCAGCCAUGCCGCGUGUGUGAAGAAGGCCUUUUGGUUGUAAAGCACUUUAAGCAGUGAAGAAGACUCYUYGGUUAAUACCCRURGACGAUGACAUUAGCUGCAGAAUAAGCACCGGCUAACUCUGUGCCAGCAGCCGCGGUAAUACAGAGGGUGCAAGCGUUAAUCGGAAUUACUGGGCGUAAAGGGAGCGUAGGUGGCUCUAUAAGUCAGAUGUGAAAUCCCCGGGCUCAACCUGGGAACUGCAUCUGAUACUGUUGAGCUAGAGUAUGUGAGAGGAAGGUAGAAUUCCAGGUGUAGCGGUGAAAUGCGUAGAGAUCUGGAGGAAUACCGAUGGCGAAGGCAGCCUUCUGGCAUAAUACUGACACUGAGGCUCGAAAGCGUGGGUAGCAAACAGGAUUAGAUACCCUGGUAGUCCACGCCGUAAACGAUGUCUACUAGUCGUUGGGUCCCUUGAGGACUUAGUGACGCAGCUAACGCAAUAAGUAGACCGCCUGGGGAGUACGGCCGCAAGGUUAAAACUCAAAUGAAUUGACGGGGGCCCGCACAAGCGGUGGAGCAUGUGGUUUAAUUCGAUGCAACGCGAAGAACCUUACCUGGUCUUGACAUAUCUAGAAUCCUGCAGAGAUGCGGGAGUGCCUUCGGGAAUUAGAAUACAGGUGCUGCAUGGCUGUCGUCAGCUCGUGUCGUGAGAUGUUGGGUUAAGUCCCGCAACGAGCGCAACCCUUGUCCUUAGUUACCAGCGGGUUAAGCCGGGAACUCUAAGGAUACUGCCAGUGACAAACUGGAGGAAGGCGGGGACGACGUCAAGUCAUCAUGGCCCUUACGACCAGGGCUACACACGUGCUACAAUGGUAGGUACAGAGGGCAGCUACACAGCGAUGUGAUGCGAAUCUCAAAAAGCCUAUCGUAGUCCAGAUUGGAGUCUGCAACUCGACUCCAUGAAGUAGGAAUCGCUAGUAAUCGCGGAUCAGAAUGCCGCGGUGAAUACGUUCCCGGGCCUUGUACACACCGCCCGUCACACCAUGGGAGUUGAUUGCACCAGAAGUGGAUAGCUUAACCUU